RNAcentral lists this ribosomal RNA (520 nucleotides) under uncultured bacterium. Its description in RNAcentral is "partial 16S ribosomal RNA". It matches the Rfam family "Bacterial small subunit ribosomal RNA", at positions 355 to 864 of the family's 1533-position model. The record is from RNAcentral.
UGGGGAAUAUUGCACAAUGGGCGCAAGCCUGAUGCAGCCAUGCCGCGUGUGUGAAGAAGGCCUUCGGGUUGUAAAGCACUUUCAGCGAGGAGGAAGGUGGUGAACUUAAUACGUCAUCAAUUGACGUUACUCGCAGAAGAAGCACCGGCUAACUCCGUGCCAGCAGCCGCGGUAAUACGGAGGGUGCAAGCGUUAAUCGGAAUUACUGGGCGUAAAGCGCACGCAGGCGGUUUGUUAAGUCAGAUGUGAAAUCCCCGGGCUCAACCUGGGAACUGCAUUUGAAACUGGCAAGCUAGAGUCUCGUAGAGGGGGGUAGAAUUCCAGGUGUAGCGGUGAAAUGCGUAGAGAUCUGGAGGAAUACCGGUGGCGAAGGCGGCCCCCUGGACGAAGACUGACGCUCAGGUGCGAAAAGCGUGGGGCAGCAAACAGGAUUAGAUACCCUGGUAGUCCACGCUGUAAAACGAUGUCGAUUUUGGAGGUUGUGCCCUUGAGGCGUGGCUUCCGGAGCUAACGCGUUAAA